Molecule: ribosomal RNA, 1352 nt
Filed under: uncultured marine eukaryote
Lineage: Eukaryota
Description: SSU rRNA
Rfam family: Eukaryotic small subunit ribosomal RNA
Source: RNAcentral
CACUUCUAAGGAAGGCAGCAGGCGCGCAAAUUACCCAAUCCUGACUCAGGGAGGUAGUGACAAGAAAUAACAAUAAACCGGCUUAUGCCGGUUUAAUUGGAAUGAGUACAAUUUAAGCAUCUUAACGAGGAACAAUUGGAGGGCAAGUCUGGUGCCAGCAGCCGCGGUAAUUCCAGCUCCAAUAGCGUAUACUAAAGUUGUUGCAGUUAAAAAGCUCGUAGUUGGAUUUCUGUGGGGACGGAGCGGCCGGCCGCAACACGCGGUUCGAGCUAGCGCUUUCCCUACAUCCUGCCGCGAACCGUGCUACCAUUAGUUUGGUGGCGCCGGGGAUCGGCUCGAUUACUUUGAGAAAAAUAGAGUGUUCAAAGCAGGCCACACGCCUUGAAUAAGUUAGCAUGGAAUAAUAACUAAGGACUUCGGUUCUAUUUUGUUGGUGUUCGGGACUGAAGUAAUGAUUGAUAGGGACAGUUGGGGCGGUCUGUAUUCCAAAGCGAGAGGUGAAAUUCUUAGACCUUCGGAAGACAAACAGCUGCGAAAGCGUUCCGCAAGGAUGUUCCCUUUGAUCAAGAACGAAAGUUGGGGGAUCGAAGACGAUCAGAUACCGUCGUAGUCUCAACUAUAAACUAUACCAGCUAGGGAUCGGCCAACGUUAUUUUAUGCCGACUUGGUCGGCACCUUAUGAGAAAUCAAAGCAUCUGGGUUCCGGGGGGAGUAUGGUCGCAAGGCUGAAACUUAAAGGAAUUGACGGAAGGGCACCACCAGCCGUGGAGCCUGUGGCUUAAUUUGACUCAACACGGGAAAACUUACCAGGUCCAGACAUAGUAAGGAUUGACAGAUUGAUAGCUCUUUCUUGAUUCUGUGGGUGGUGGUGCAUGGCCGUUCUUAGUUGGUGGAGUGAUUUGUCUGGUUAAUUCCGUUAACGAACGAGACCCCAGCCUGCUAAAUAGCGCGCAUGAGCUUUGCUCGUGGCGAGCUUCUUAGAGGGACUAUGAUGCGCGAUAGCACAUGGAAGUUUGGGGCAAUAACAGGUCUGUGAUGCCCUUAGAUGUUCUGGGCCGCACACGGGCUACACUGGCGCCUGCAACGAGCAUAUCAGCUGGCCCGAGAGGGUCUUGGCUAAUCUUUUGAACCGGCGCCGUGCUUGGGAUUGACCUUUGCAAUUGUUGGUCAUGCAACGAGGAAUGCCUUGUAAACGCGAGUCAUCAGCUCGCAUUGAAUACGUCCCUGCCCUUUGUACACACCGCCCGUCGCUCCUACCGAUGAAUGUUCCGAUGAAAUUUUCGGAGAGCACCUGUGAACUUGGCUCUGCCUUGCGAACGGGAGGCUCAAAGUCACUUAAAUCUGAACAUUUC